UCCAGACUCCUACGGGAGGCAGCAGUGGGGAAUAUUGCACAAUGGGGGAAACCCUGAUGCAGCAACGCCGCGUGAAGGAAGACGGUUUUCGGAUUGUAAACUUCUGUUCUUAGUGAAGAAUAAUGACGGUAGCUAAGGAGCAAGCCACGGCUAACUACGUGCCAGCAGCCGCGGUAAUACGUAGGUGGCAAGCGUUGUCCGGAUUUACUGGGUGUAAAGGGCGUGUAGCCGGGCUGACAAGUCAGAUGUGAAAUCCGGGGGCUCAACCCCCGAACUGCAUUUGAAACUGUUGGUCUUGAGUAUCGGAGAGGCAGGCGGAAUUCCUAGUGUAGCGGUGAAAUGCGUAGAUAUUAGGAGGAACACCAGUGGCGAAGGCGGCCUGCUGGACGGUGUACUGACGCUGAGGCUCGAAAGCGUGGGGAGCAAACAGGAUUAGAUACCCUAGUAC
This 448-nucleotide ribosomal RNA is filed under the name uncultured bacterium. RNAcentral's name for it is "bacterial SSU rRNA". It matches the Rfam family "Bacterial small subunit ribosomal RNA", at positions 330 to 793 of the family's 1533-position model. The record is from RNAcentral.